CUUAAUGGUGUCUAGUGAAAUAUUCAAACUUGGCGGGAUGGUAAUGCGGGAUUAAAUAAUCUAAUGCCAAGAUGCUAUACUGACAAGGUGGUUAAAGACACAGCCACUCACAUGGGAGACCCUGGUUCGAAUCCAGUGAGGGCAACAACAUUUAUCACUUAAUUGCAGGCCUGCUGAAGUAGGCUUGCCUGGUUCUUUUCCUGGUUUGUCCGGAUGACUAAAGAUCUGGAAAAUGUCUGGUCCUCACCCACUCCGUUCCAACUUUACACCACAGUGUGAAUUUGGAGAUCCCUUGACAAGUAUUGCUUAGGCUGCACAUUCUUGAAACAACUCAUAAACACCUUGUUUGACUUCAGCCUAUAGGAGCUGUCCUACUAUAAAAGCUAGAAAAUGUGAAGUAGCCUUGUCUUUUAUGGUUAGCUCUACAUCAUUCUCCAUUUGAUUGGUAGGGAUAUGAUUAUCUUUGCAUAGCCAGAGAAGGUGACACAUUUAAUAUUAUGGCAACAGAUGGAGGCCUGCGUUUUUCUUGCAAAUACUUCUGAAAUUGCCCUUUUGGUGGCAGUAUAAAAAUGAUGCAGUAGACAGUAGGUGAACAAGGCAUUGGAUCGCAGCGACGCGCAAGGACAAAACGUCCAUAUAUAGCCCUAUUGCAAAGGAAAUCACAUCCCGCCCUACCUCCACUGACUACCACGGUGCCACCAGUGAUUGAUCUACGCCUGGCCUCUGCUUAGGGAUGUUUGUUGGCAUACACGAGACGCUGCUGUGCACAUAAUUUAUGACAGAAAAAAUAGAAAACAAUGCAUGAUACAACCCCGUUGGGCUCAGUUUCCAAUAUGGCACGAUCGUUUCCCUAGCGUAGAUACAUCAUUUUCAGUCAUGUGAGCAAUAGUCAAUGUCAGAGAAGAAGAUGGGGCUAUAAAAAAGUGAGGUAGGGUGUUGGAACAACAGCGGGGGUAUGGAGAGAGAGAAGGGACAUCUCUCUUGUGCAUUGAGGAAAGGGUAGUAACGUCACACGCUAGCUUCUUAAGCAAAACCCCAGCAUACAGUUACCCACACCAGUUUUCAUUAUCAUAUUGAUUGAAACAGUUCAUCAGAGUGUAAUUUUAGGUUGAGGGCCAUCGGGUUGGGAAGGAGAGCAGAGAAUUGGCUAACAAAAGAACAGCAUUGUUCCACCGGGACGUUUCUCUGUUCCAGUUCAUUGAUGGAGUUGAUUAAGUUUAAAUGAAGCAGACACUGGAUAAAAGUGAGGGUAUUGACCAGCGGGCGCUGUGCUGUUGCGCUUGAAAAAGCCUGAUACACGCGGAAUAGCAAGAUUUGCUAAAUGCUCUAAUCUUCAAUCAAAUCUAACAUCAAUACAGACAAAGUUUGGUAAUGAGAGAUUCAAUGAAGCAUGCAGUAGAGAGAAUUAAUCCCCUUCGCCUAAACUGGGUUCAACUUUGAAGCUUGCUCCUCAGGAUAGACAGUUAUCUAAAUGCUAAAUAAGAAACGUAUUGUACUUUUCACAGUAUGCUAAUCAUUUGUUCAUUUCAUCUCCAUUAUUUGUUCUCUCGUAUAUUGCAGUUGUUGAUCUGGUGAUUAGAUUAGAUCAACCUUGGGUAGCGUAGAGAGAAGGGUGGAAUUGAAUACUUAACAGACUAACUGGUAUUUGUAGAGGUGAUGUGGCGACCAGUAAUUCACAGAGUUUGGCUCAGAUUAUCCACACUCCCGUUCGGCGUACACAAUAAGAUCAACAUUAUCCUGUAUGGCUGGCGUCUUCAAAAUGUCUUCAUCAUCCCUUUUGCCUUCAGGUUAUAGUCGAUCAACCCCUAAAUGUUUUUUAAAGCAUGCAUUUUAUAUUUUAGGUAAGUCCAAAUACAUUGCUUUGGCCUUUCCUUCCAACGGCAUCGGCAACACCUCCUUUGGGCAUGUUCGCUUCUGCUUUUUUCCCAAGCAAUCGACAGCAGAUACAACCCAGGAGAUGUGCUAUAAAACAAACUGCGCUCUCAAAG
Molecule: long non-coding RNA, 1988 nt
Organism: Esox lucius (northern pike)
Lineage: Eukaryota; Metazoa; Chordata; Actinopteri; Esociformes; Esocidae
Source: Ensembl